Ooceraea biroi (clonal raider ant) is the source of this 2454-nucleotide long non-coding RNA. RefSeq lists it as uncharacterized. The record is from RefSeq and is a predicted model, not a curated record. NCBI's taxonomy places the organism in Eukaryota, Metazoa, Arthropoda, Insecta, Hymenoptera, Formicidae.
CGUGCAUUAAAGAAAAUUCCGUAAGAUCCGGAGGAGCCGGAGAUGCCGAAUAAAUAUUUCGAUACGUUCAACUGCGAUAUAUCUACACCGUGUAUACCGAUGUAGAUUGAAUGCGGUACGAUCGCUGAAACCUCCCCGGUCAUGGAUCCCCCGGGAAUUUGGAACUAAAUGCGAAUCCGAAAGACCGCGCCAUUCGCGCAACGAUCAUAAAUAUAUCGGCCAGACUGUGAACAAAGUGUCGAAAUGCAAAGGGCGACCCUGCUUUCCGCAGGUAAAUGUCGAGCAUGCGUGCAUACGCGGCUAAAUGUUUGCUGGCAAGCCAGUUGCGCUCACAAUCGUGCCGCCAAAAUGUAGAAUCGUGGCGCAUACGAGCGCAUUUAGUGCGUGAUGUGAAUACCAACGAGCGUGCGCGUGCGUGUGUAUGUGUGUGUACAUGUGUACGUCUACGUCGCACGCGUGACCGUACUGAUCGAUGAUUCCGUGGAAAUUCCUCUGCACCUUGCGAAAAUGGAGUGAGUUCACGGGGAACUCCCCUGCUUAUGGAAAAUAGGAGCACGCGUGCGCGCGAACACGAUUGCACGCCUCAUUAGUGGGUAAAGUAAAGACGAGAGUGGCCGGCCGCUGGAGCUGCCGCUCCGAGCUUAAAAAUCAAUUCAAUUACGCAAAGUGUGUCAAACGCUUUCUCAAAUAGCAGCCGUACAGAGCACCGAGAAAGACACUUCCGUCGUGAAACAUUAAAGUCGCGCUCGUGCGACACAAGGUAUGUAAAAUACGCGAGUGCUCGAUACGUAUCGCUCGCCUAUUUCGUAAGUAACGCGACCCAAUUUGCGAAAGCCUCAUUAAAAUAAAUUAGUUUGCACCAGUUUGUGUCUGGCGCUGGUGUCUUAUGCGUAUUAGCAAUCACGGAUAUCGCGUUUAAGUUAUUAUCCGACGGAUGAUUCUCUCGUGUGUGAAUAUUACAGCGCAAGAAACUGGAGCAAUCAAUGUCGCGCCGUGAAAGAAGAAAAGUGAUAUCGCGUCCUCGGAUAUAGGACGCUUGUCCUUCCAAUCCCGAGCUCAUAAAAUGAUGCCGAUUGUUCCAGUUCCAACAUAUUGAUUCAGCAGUUGCUUUUCGCACGCAAAUUCCAAAAAAUCAGACCUUGAACUACAGCUUCAGGUCUACUUCUUACUUAUGCAAUCAGUGAUUUAACACGCACUUCAAAGCAAGCAAAAAUAAAAUUUGCUUUUCGCGCGACAGAGUAGAUUCUAGAUAGAAUCGGAAGAUGAAUGCACGUAACAUGAUAAGUGUGCAAAAAUAAGAUGUCUCUACCGCCAGAAAUCUCACUUUUAACUAAUUCUGAUUUUCCUGUUUUGGACUCGAUUUCUUCUGGAAAUCGAUAAUCCAAUUUCGACGAAAACACAAACCACUACAUCUUCGACAAGGAGCUUCAAACUCGAAGCGUGGGGAUUCCUCAUCCCCGAAGACCACGACCAUCUGGUUACGCUGGUACAUUACGGGUUAAUGCCGGAGAGUUAGUUAGGAUGUUAAUUAGUAUAGAAUGGACCCGUUGUGGAGCAGGAACAUGCGAUACCCGCUAUACUUUGGAUGAAGUGCGCAAAGAGCAACGACCGCAAUGAUGUUGUCCUCGUGGAUCGAUCCAGAGACAUUUAACUCUAAAAGUGAGGACACCGUCAUGACGUCCAAUAUAUAACGUCAAUUAUAUUCAAUUGCAUAUUUCUAAUAAUGUUUUAGCAAAUUCAAAACCUUAAAAUCGUGAUAACGAAUUAAUCGUUCAACAAUACACACAAUUUUCUCAAUUAAAACCUAAAGCUUUUUAUUGAAUGGAGCAAGAAUAUGAAGCAAAAACUUAUUUUUCUGAAUGAUGUAAAAAGCGUCAUGUAUGCGUCGUUAUAAGCGUUCAUUACGCAAUCGCUGCCAUUACCACGAGCGACACUUCCUGACGCCUUUCACUCUCAUGAAGAAAUUUCACCUCGUUUCAACCCGAGCUACUCGCGAUUUAACAGCACACACCGGUACCGUGGUCGCAAAAACGUUCAUGCGCGUUUAACGGCGAAUUAACGGCGAAUUUUUGCGAGGAUGUACGAGAAGACAGACGUUGAAUCACUGUAGGAGACCCUUAAGCGGUCUCAGAGGUCGUUAACGACGUGAAACAGCCUCGAUGCGCCCAAGAACUCGGCGCUGCAUUAUUCACUUUGAGCCUCUCAGGAUCAGAUUUUCGCCGAAUAAAAGGCGGCAAUUAACGUCCAUGCGAUUCCCACAUGGUAGAAAAAUAUGGCAUGCUCGAAAUAAUUCAGAUAUCGCGAUAAGAAUGAGGAUUUUAGAUCCUUUACUGUCUCUGACGAAGAAACAGGUCAUCAAUAAGCAGUUUGUACAUGCAUACAAACCAGAAUCAGAGCCAAUCGAAAUUUUCACAUGAUCCACAGCAGAUACGGUCUCUGCAAACACUCGAAAAA